This is a long non-coding RNA of Zea mays, 3263 nucleotides long. RefSeq lists it as uncharacterized. The transcript is spliced from 9 exons. NCBI's taxonomy places the organism in Eukaryota, Viridiplantae, Streptophyta, Magnoliopsida, Poales, Poaceae. The record is from RefSeq and is a predicted model, not a curated record.
AGCGACCUUUGUGUCGCGCUUUAAUAUAUAGGAAUGUCCGCACCGUGACCCACAUAUAAAAAUAGGUCCGCAUCGCGACCUCUAGGCUUCCAAGCGCCACCGCUGAUCUUUUCGCUGGAGAAGCUGAAGCGACACGAAUCUGGAGAGCCGAUCCGCAGUUUUGGCGACAACAAAAGGGUCUAGUCCAUAGACUCGAGAGUUACGGAUCGAAACAAAGAGCCGAUCCAAAGUCCAAGCAGACCAGAAUUAACAUGGGAGUCAAAUCUACCCGAGCCGAUAACUCGGCCCAGUCACACUCGAGGGCUACCGUGUUGAAGAUAUACUAGUGUAUGGCGCGCGCCCAUGCGCGCGUGCCAAUCCGUUUAGCAGCAUAGUAUCUCUACUACUCUAUAAGAGUGUAGUGUAGACUUCACAACCCGUGCACCAUGGUUCUGCCUCCGACACCCUCUCGCCCGUGCUCCGUUGAUCCCGCGGUCCUCGCCCAGCCUCAGUAAACCACUCUCGCAUGUGGCCGCGCGUUGCCUGCCUCCCUCGCUCUCUAUCGAUGGAAGGACGCAAUUCAGGGAAGCCUCCGCAGCCGCCCUGCCAUUCUCGCCCUCGCCCAACACUCCAUCGAUGGAAGGGCAUGGUUCCAGGGAUUGCCUCCCCAGCAGAUCCCACCAUCCUCGCCCCGCCUGCACUCCGCCAUCCUCGCUGCCACCAUCCACAAGGCAACACCAUGCCCCCGCUCCUCUACCAUCCACGCCAUCCUCGCCCCACGCCCGCCCACACACCUCGCCAUCCUUCUCCUCCUCCGCGCAGGUCCUCGAUGCCCCUUCCCCCACCCCUGUCGUCCCCGCAUAUUCGGAUCCGGGGUUCGCUCGGGUUGCCUCCUCGCCGGGGACCCACCAUGGCGGUCAGGGAGCAUGGUGGGUGGGGGAGAUGGGGAGGAGCGGAGGAAGCACGACGUCCUCUAGGAAGAAGCACAGCCGCAGCCGCCCGCAGGCUAUGGACGAUGACAUCGACAGCUCCUGCUCCACCCCGUUCGCCAGCGCGCCGUCCAGCCCCGGACGUCCCCACGCCAUCAGCGGCGGAAGCGGAGGCGGAGGCUACUUCUUCAGCGCGCCGGCCAGCCCCAUCCACCACCUCCUCCUCUCGACCUCGUGCUCGGCCUCCGCGACUCCCAGCACCGGUGGGCGUGGGUGCGUGGGCGACGUGGAGUUCGAGUUCGGCGGGCCUGGCGGGCCCAUGAUCUCCGCCGACGAGCUCUUCCACAACGGCCAGAUCCGGCCGCUCACCCUGCCCCCGCUCAGAAUAGAGCGAUGACGACCUGAAAGAGCUUCUGCAGCUAGCUCCAAUAAAGAAGGUAAUUUUCGACCACCAACACCUACACUUCCUUCCUGGCCUACACCGUAGAAAGCAGAGAAGCAUUCCUCUCCUGCCCUCACUCUGGUUGGUGAUGCUCCAAUUUUUACCCCUAACCCCCAAGGCGACAACUUUCAAGAUCCAGAAGUUGAUGCAAAUGCCAUAUAUGUGCGCAGUCAAAUGCCAUGCCACAACAAUUAGAGGAUGAGUUCAAGAGAUUUGGUGCCAUUAAACAUGAAUGCAUCCAAGUUAGAAGUAAUAAGUGUCGGCUGUGGUGGAGCGGCUGUGGUCGCUCUCGCUCAAAUCCACCACCAAGAUAGCAGCGAGCGAGGGCAAGUCAAUGGUGAAGUAAUAGGGUUUUGGGAGCCGCAUCAUGCAUGUGCUGCUAACCGGAACCUUGCCUUGUCUGUUGCUCAAUGUGUAUGUCUAGGCCGUGGCGAGAUUGUACGAGGCUCUGGACAGAUGCGAGGAGAUUCUUGGCAAGCGACGCUAUAUUUGUGGCGACCAGCUGACUUAAUCAGACAGAUUGCGGAAUGAAUGCACCGAGCUGAGAAAGGACAGAACAAAGAAAGAUCUUAAAAUCUGAAAAAACCUAAUGUGAGGCGGUCGCGCCUGCUCUGCCGAAAGUGCGGGGGCACAUCGGCAGCGCCUACGGGGAGGAGGACGCCAGGGAAGCCGGCUCCUCCAGCCUCUUCGGCGGUGACGGCUCCUCGGACGACACGCAUCCGAGCUCCGGCUCGGGCCACCGCAGCAGCGUCGCGUCGAGCCAGAAGAGGUACGUGGUCAGGAUCAGCGCGCUGCAGCCGUCGUCGGAUGACUCUGCUGUCGUUUCCUUCACGCAUCGUUGAAGCAGAUGUCGAGUUGGUGUGCUAUGUUCUUCUUCCAGCCUGGAUGAAUUUGAAUUUGGUGUAACCUGGGAUGGCGAUGGACUGCAGGAGGACGAAGUGGAGCAAGGAAAGAUCUUUCUUGGCGUGUCUAGACUUUUCAGAGGCUCAGUGGUGACAUCAGCUGAGGUCCGUUAGUUUGCCUGUGCAGCCAUGCCUCAAAUCUAGAACACCAUGCGGCAAAACUGCACACUCCUAGCUGUUCUUUGUGGGGAGUUUGCUGAGAAGCAGCGGACACCAGCUUCCCUGGCGCUAGGCACAAAGCGGUUGCGGCUGUCAUACCCUUUCCUUGAGCUCGCUUCGUUUGGGAGACUGGAGGUGCACACGCUAAUCAAUCCCACUCAGGCGGUGCAUCUUGUCUUCUUGUCUCUAGGGGCAGCAGCAAGAGAAUGAGGAGAUUGGCACGCUUGUCUGGGGUGAUACAGAUUUAUCUGACCCGCAGAUGUUUGUCUCACACCUUUGUAUGAGUUUUUAAAUAAGUUGUACUUAUCCAAACUUGCUUCACUUAAUCUUAUCUAUCAAAUUCCCAUGUACAAUUACAUACUCCAUCUGUUUAUGAAUGUAUGUCGUUUUGGAUGUGAAUACGCUUCAUGGGGCAACCCUAGCAGUGUGGCUACUACUAGCUAACUAGCAUUAUAUGUUGAUGAACACUAUGCAAAUAAUGUAUGAGGGAGUAUCUUUUUUAUGAUGGACAUUUCAUUUUACUUUUAUUUGGUUAGUCUUGGUUAUUGUUCAUAUGUUAUAGCCAAAUUUAAACUUCUCAAUAUCACGUACCCAAAUCAACAUACAUUAUAAAACCGAGUUUAAGAGUUAGCACAUGUUCCACUGUUUCUACCAUCGUCCAGUUUUCACUAUUUCCAUCAUCAAUACUUUUGUAAAAAAAACUUUAUAUUUCCUUGUAAUUAACAUGCAGUCCAAUUGUUGUGCACUAACAUUUGAUCGAAUAAUCUGUACGCCGUCGCAACGCACGGGCACUCACCUAGUAAUGUAUGAUGAUUAUAGGUAUAUUAGAGAGUAAAUAAGUACAUAAGAGCA